This 452-nucleotide ribosomal RNA is filed under the name uncultured bacterium. RNAcentral describes it as "bacterial SSU rRNA". It matches the Rfam family "Bacterial small subunit ribosomal RNA", at positions 29 to 524 of the family's 1533-position model. The record is from RNAcentral.
AACGAACGCUGGCGGCAUGCCUAACACAUGCAAGUCGAACGAGACCUUCGGGUCUAGUGGCGCACGGGUGCGUAACGCGUGGGAAUCUGCCCUUGGGUUCGGAAUAACAGUUAGAAAUGACUGCUAAUACCGGAUAAUGUCUUCGGACCAAAGAUUUAUCGCCCAGGGAUGAGCCCCGCGUAGGAUUAGCUAGUUGGUGAGGUAAAGGCUCACCAAGGCGACGAUCCUUAGCUGGUCUGAGAGGAUGAUCAGCCACACUGGGACUGAGACACGGCCCAGACUCCUACGGGAGGCAGCAGUGGGGAAUAUUGGACAAUGGGCGAAAGCCUGAUCCAGCAAUGCCGCGUGAGUGAUGAAGGCCUUAGGGUUGUAAAGCUCUUUUACCCGGGAUGAUAAUGACAGUACCGGGAGAAUAAGCCCCGGCUAAACUCCGUGCCAGCAGCCGCGGUAAU